Felis catus (domestic cat) is the source of this 625-nucleotide non-coding RNA. The record is from the annotation of a RefSeq genome assembly. Lineage: Eukaryota; Metazoa; Chordata; Mammalia; Carnivora; Felidae.
CAGCCCCGGGAGUCCCAGGUGUUCCCAUUCUGUGAUCAGGACAGAACACAGAAACCUCACCAUGGAGUUUGUGCUGGGCUGGGUUUUCCUGGUUGCUCUUUUAAAAGGUGUCCAGUGUGAUGUGCAGCUGGUGGAAUCUGGGGGAGACCUGGUGAAGCCUGGGGGGUCCCUGAGACUCACCUGUGUAGCCUCUGGAUUCACCUUCAGUAGCUAUGACAUGAACUGGGUCCGCCAGGCUCCAGGGAAGGGGCUGCAGUGGGUCGCAUAUAUUAGUAGUAGUGGAGGUAGCAUAUACUACGCAGACUCCGUGAAGGGCCGAUUCACCAUCUCCAGAGACAACGCCAAGAACACUCUGUAUCUGCAGAUGAACAGCCUGAAGACCGAGGACACGGCCACAUAUUACUGUGCGAGUGACACAGAGCAGGUGCAGUUGGAGGAUACAGUGGACAUUAACAUAAUUGACUUUUCCAGUGGUGCCAGGUGGGCUGUAAUUCAAACCACAGCUGCCCUUCUCGACUCCACUGCCGACAACCCAUGGGCAGCUUGUCCAGACACCUGCACAAGAACCCAGGUUGGGCCUCAGCAGGGACCCUCACCUGCAGAACUGGAAAGUGUGGAGAGAUGA